UAGGGAAUCUUCGGCAAUGGACGAAAGUCUGACCGAGCAACGCCGCGUGAGUGAAGAAGGUUUUCGGAUCGUAAAACUCUGUUGUUAGAGAAGAACAAGGACGUUAGUAACUGAACGUCCCCUGACGGUAUCUAACCAGAAAGCCACGGCUAACUACGUGCCAGCAGCCGCGGUAAUACGUAGGUGGCAAGCGUUGUCCGGAUUUAUUGGGCGUAAAGCGAGCGCAGGCGGUUUCUUAAGUCUGAUGUGAAAGCCCCCGGCUCAACCGGGGAGGGUCAUUGGAAACUGGGAGGCUUGAGUGCAGAAGAGGAGAGUGGAAUUCCAUGUGUAGCGGUGAAAUGCGUAGAUAUAUGGAGGAGCGCCAGUGGCGAAGGCGGCUCUCUGGUCUGUAACUGACGAUGAGGCUCGAAAGCGUGGGGAGCAAACAGG
RNAcentral lists this ribosomal RNA (429 nucleotides) under Gemmatimonadota bacterium. RNAcentral's name for it is "Gemmatimonadetes bacterium partial 16S ribosomal RNA". It matches the Rfam family "Bacterial small subunit ribosomal RNA", at positions 355 to 776 of the family's 1533-position model. Lineage: Bacteria; Pseudomonadati; Gemmatimonadota. The record is from RNAcentral.